GUAGGUGAACCUGCGGAAGGAUCAUUAACACGUGAUACUCACGUAUUAAUCAACCGAGAAAUGUUAUAUCCCCUGUUGUGGAACAUAGGUGCGAUUUGGGAGCGGAAUGGUGCGAGGUAUCGAAAGGUAUACUCUUCAUCCCUUAUCUACGGUCACAUUUAGAACGCAAGUUCUAUUUCGAACACGAGCCCAUGCCCACAAACAGAAGAUGAAUUGCGACUGCUUAUUAAUGCCUGCGCCUUGGCUUGCAGCUCGUGGUGAUAUUAUUAACCCCUUUUACUAUAAUUUCUGAUGUGUAUGUUUGUAUUUAUUCCUAGUCCUUCGGGAUUGGUCGAGUUUAUAUAAAUGUCGUAUAAUUUUAAUACGAAACAACUCUUAGCAACGGAUAUCUUGGUUCUC
This 399-nucleotide unclassified non-coding RNA is filed under the name rhizosphere metagenome. RNAcentral's name for it is "partial ribosomal RNA internal transcribed spacer region". The record is from RNAcentral.